Molecule: ribosomal RNA, 497 nt
Filed under: uncultured bacterium
Lineage: Bacteria
Description: partial 16S ribosomal RNA
Rfam family: Bacterial small subunit ribosomal RNA
Source: RNAcentral
GAUGAACGCUGGCGGCGUGCCUAAUACAUGCAAGUCGAGCGAACAGAUGAGGAGCUUGCUCCUCUGACGUUAGCGGCGGACGGGUGAGUAACACGUGGAUAACCUACCUAUAAGACUGGGAUAACUUCGGGAAACCGGAGCUAAUACCGGAUAAUAUAUUGAACCGCAUGGUUCAAUAGUGAAAGAGGGUUUUGCUGUCACUUAUAGAUGUAUCCGCGCCGCAUUAGCUAGUUGGUAAGGUAACGGCUUACCAAGGCAACGAUGCGUAGCCGACCUGAGAGGGUGAUCGGCCACACUGGAACUGAGACACGGUCCAGACUCCUACGGGAGGCAGCAGUAGGGAAUCUUCCGCAAUGGGCGAAAGCCUGACGGAGCAACGCCGCGUGAGUGAUGAAGGUCUUCGGAUCGUAAAACUCUGUUAUUAGGGAAGAACAAAUGUGUAAGUAACUAUGCACGUCUUGACGGUACCUAAUCAGAAAGCCACGGCUAACUACGUG